UACGUAGGUCCCGAGCGUUGUCCGGAUUUAUUGGGCGUAAAGCGAGCGCAGGCGGUUAGAUAAGUCUGAAGUUAAAGGCUGUGGCUUAACCAUAGUAUGCUUUGGAAACUGUUUAACUUGAGUGCAGAAGGGGAGAGUGGAAUUCCAUGUGUAGCGGUGAAAUGCGUAGACAUAUGGAGGAACACCGGUGGCGAAAGCGGCUCUCUGGUCUGUAACUGACGCUGAGGCUCGAAAGCGUGGGGAGCAAACAGGAUUAGAUACCCUGGUAGUCCACGCCGUAAACGAUGAUAACUAGCUGUCAGGGUUCACAGAACUUUGGUGGCGCAGCUAACGCAUUAAGUUAUCCGCCUGGGGAGUACGGUCGCAAGAUUAAAACUC
This 378-nucleotide ribosomal RNA is filed under the name uncultured Streptococcus sp. RNAcentral describes it as "bacterial SSU rRNA". It matches the Rfam family "Bacterial small subunit ribosomal RNA", at positions 524 to 902 of the family's 1533-position model. Lineage: Bacteria; Bacillati; Bacillota; Bacilli; Lactobacillales; Streptococcaceae. The record is from RNAcentral.